RNAcentral lists this ribosomal RNA (429 nucleotides) under bacterium. RNAcentral describes it as "partial 16S ribosomal RNA". It matches the Rfam family "Bacterial small subunit ribosomal RNA", at positions 355 to 776 of the family's 1533-position model. The record is from RNAcentral.
UAGGGAAUCUUCGGCAAUGGGGGCAACCCUGACCGAGCAACGCCGCGUGAGUGAAGAAGGUUUUCGGAUCGUAAAGCUCUGUUGUAAGAGAAGAACGUGUGUGAGAGUGGAAAGUUCACACAGUGACGGUAACUUACCAGAAAGGGACGGCUAACUACGUGCCAGCAGCCACGGUAAUACGUAGGUCCCGAGCGUUGUCCGGAUUUAUUGGGCGUAAAGCGAGCGCAGGCGGUUUAAUAAGUCUGAAGUUAAAGGCAGUGGCUUAACCAUUGUUCGCUUUGGAAACUGUUAAACUUGAGUGCAGAAGGGGAGAGUGGAAUUCCAUGUGUAGCGGUGAAAUGCGUAGAUAUAUGGAGGAACACCGGUGGCGAAAGCGGCUCUCUGGUCUGUAACUGACGCUGAGGCUCGAAAGCGUGGGGAGCAAACAGG